Molecule: RNA transcript, 2241 nt
Organism: Argiope bruennichi
Lineage: Eukaryota; Metazoa; Arthropoda; Arachnida; Araneae; Araneidae
Gene: msl-3
Gene name: male-specific lethal 3 homolog
Exons: 12
Source: RefSeq, a predicted model, not a curated record
GAAAGAACGACGCAUCACUUAUAUCUUGUAAGGAAUCGCCGGAGAUUCUGUCAAUAACAUUAUUCUCUUCAUGAGAUUUAUAUUGGAAAUAGUAAAUAGAGUAGAUUAUAAAAUUACUGUCAAUUAAUUUCUCAUCGCAUUUGUCUUGAUAUUUAAAAAGUGAUAAUAAUGGGAGUUGCCACAAGAGGAGUAAAGUUUAAAUUUGCUGCUGGGGAAAAGGUUUUGUGCUACGAGCCAGAUCCUACCAAAGCCAAAGUGCUUUAUGAAUCCAAAGUUUUGGAUCUGGUCGUUAGUCGAGAUGAACGUGGAAGAAAAGUUCCUGAAUAUCUCAUUCAUUUUUUUGGAUGGAAUAGCAGCUGGGAUCGAUGUGUGAGAGAAGAAUUUAUUUUACCAUUCACAGAAGAAAAUCGAGAAUUACAAGUAAAGCUGGCAAAUGAAGCUGCUUUAUCCAUAAAAGGCAAACGCAAGAGCAAAUUGCCACCACUGUUAAAAGAAACUUUGUACAAGAAACAAUGUAAUGACAGUGGGAAUGAAAAGUCUGAAAAUCCAGAUUCCUCAUCAUCUGAAUCUGAUUCGGAAUCUUCUGAGGAAGACACAGAAAAAGAUGUGAUACUCAAACUUCCUGAAAUUUUGAAAGAGGUACUGGAAGAUGACUGGCUUGCUGUCACAAAGAAAAACAAGUUAGUGAAAUUGCCUUGCCGGCCCAAUGUCAUCGCAAUCCUGGAAGAUUAUGUGAAACAUUUAGCAGCACAGCUCUUGUGUGCAUCACCGCCAAAGAAUACCAAAAAUGGGAAACAAAUCAUGCCAGAUGAUGUAAAAAAUAAGUUGAACUUAUGCAAGGAAGUUAUGGAUGGCAUUCGUGUCUAUUUUGACUUCACUUUGCCUCACUUGUUAUUGUAUCGCCAAGAGAAGAAACAGUACUAUACAGAUGGGACGAGAUUCUCCCCGCUCUUCGAUUCCUUCAGCGACUUGCCCGAAAAAGCUGUGAAAAUUGAAGUGGAUACUUAUCACGAAGCAGCUUUGAAGUCCGACUUGGCUUUUCCUGGAUGUCUGCAGAAAAGCCGAAUAUCCAGAUAUCUGAAAUCUCCCUCAGCUGUAGUCAAGACGGAGGUUCGGAGCAGUCCAGAAGCACAUCAGCCCGCAGAAAAGUGUUUUAAAAGAAAACGUGCAAGAGGAAGGCCCAGAAUGGCCAGCACACGAAUCUUGCGAUCAAGUGAUAAACCAAAACAAUCCACAUCGGCAGAAGAAUCGGCUGUUGUGACGAAUUCACUUGAAAUGAAACCAUGCCCCUCAAGCGAGACGCGCCUCACUCGGAAAUCAACGCAGCAGGCUACAAGCAGUGAUUUAAUGGAAAAGAGUCUCUCUGCCUCUCGCUGCCCAAGCACUACCGAUUCUUCUGGACUCUCCACAGCUUCCGUCCCGAAAUUAAGUCAGCAGUGUGUCUUGAUCAACGAUAUGACCCUGCUGCAGGAGAUCUUCUCAUGGCGCAUUCUGCCUCAGCAUUUCUACGAGCAGAUCCCGGCUGCACCCUCGCUCAUUUACGGCGCUCAUCAUCUCCUUCGGCUGCUGGUGAAACUUCCAGAAAUGAUCUCUAAGAUGAGCUUAUCCACUCAAAAGUUGCAGAAUUUGAUGUGCAUUUUGGAGAAUUUCCUAAUGUAUGUGGCUGAUCGGAAGGGCGAUUUAUUUCAUCCCGCUACUUACAUUGAUUCUUCUGACAGCUUUUGAUAUGGAUAUUCCAACGUUGUCAAAUGACCAGGUAUCUGUUACUGAAAAUGUAAAUUGUUUUGCUAUUGUUCAUCUGCACAUCCAUAUGUAGAAGAGCAUCUGCAAGAUAAAUAUUUUGAUAACCAAGCAUCUCGGUCGGACCUUUUCCAUCUUUUUAUAAAGGGACAUUACCAUACCAUUCUUCAUAUAGAGAGCAUCUUCAAUUUUGCUUCCAUCGAAAAAUUUUAUCUACACAUGUUUUAAUAACUAGUUGAUUUGGGGGGAUGCUAAUUCUUGGAGCACUGCAAUCGAAUUGUCAGAAAUAACUUAAUAAUAAGUAGUCAGAAGAUAACCUUUAGCAUUAGAUAUUAAUAUUACAUCAGGAUGGCACUUUUUCUUAUGCUUAAAUUGUGCUAUUAGUUGCUCUCUAACUGUUUCAUUUACAUCAUAAAAAUUUCAUACAUUUUUUAAUGUAUAUAAUCUUUUAUUUUAUUAUCAUCAUAAUAAAAUUUGAUUUUCUCCGUUUGUUUAUUCUCA